GCUAUCGGAUUGAUACUAAGCCAUGCGAGUCAUUGUAGCAAUACAAGGCAGACGGCUCAGUAACGCGUAGUCAAUCUACCCUAUGGACGGGAAUAACCUCGGGAAACUGAGAAUAAUGCCCGAUAGAACAUUAUGCCUGGAAUGGUUUAUGUUUCAAAUGAUUUAUCGCCAUAGGAUGGGACUGCGGCCUAUCGGUUUGUUGGUGAGGUAAUGGCCCACCAAGACUAUUACAGGUACGGGCUCUGAGAGGAGUAGCCCGGAGAUGGGUACUGAGACACGGACCCAGGCCCUAUGGGGCGCAGCAGGCGAGAAAACUUUGCAAUGUGCGAAAGCACGACAAGGUUAAUCCGAGUGGUUUCUGCUAAAGAAACCUUUUGUCAGUCCUAGAAACACUAACGAAUAAGGGGUGGGCAAGUUCUGGUGUCAGCCGCCGCGGUAAAACCAGCACCUCAAGUGGUCAGGAUGAUUAUUGGGCCUAAAGCAUCCGUAGCUCGUUUUGUAAGUUUUCGGUUAAAUCCAUGCGCUUAACGUAUGGGCUGCCGGGAAUACUGCAUAACUAGGAAGUGGGAGAGGUAGACGGUACUCGGGAGGAAGGGGUAAAAUCCUUUGAUCUCUUGAUGACCACCUGUGGCGAAGGCGGUCUACCAGAACACGUUCGACGGUGAGGGAUGAAAGCUGGGGGAGCAAACCGGAUUAGAUACCCGGGUAGUCCCAGCUGUAAACUAUGCAAACUCAGUGAUGCAUUGGCUUAUGGCCAAUGCAGUGCUGCAGGGAAGCCGUUAAGUUUGCCGCCUGGGAAGUACGUACGCAAGUAUGAAACUUAAA
RNAcentral lists this ribosomal RNA (825 nucleotides) under uncultured archaeon. Its description in RNAcentral is "bacterial SSU rRNA". It matches the Rfam family "Archaeal small subunit ribosomal RNA", at positions 29 to 860 of the family's 1478-position model. The record is from RNAcentral.